UACGUAGGUGGCAAGCGUUAUCCGGAAUUACUGGGCGUAAAGCGCACGCAGGCGGCUCGUUAAGUCUGACGUGGAAGAACCUGGCUUAACUGGGGGAGGUCGUUGGAGACUGGCGGGCUUGAGGCAAUGAGAGGGGUGCGGAAUUCCCGGUGUAGUGGUGGAAUGCGUAGAGAUCGGGAGGAACACCUGUGGCGAAAGCGGCACCCUGGCAUUGGCCUGACGCUCAUGCGCGAAAGCGUGGGGAGCGAACGGG
Molecule: ribosomal RNA, 253 nt
Filed under: uncultured prokaryote
Description: partial 16S ribosomal RNA
Rfam family: Bacterial small subunit ribosomal RNA
Source: RNAcentral